UACGAAGGGUGCUAGCGUUGUUCGGAAUUACUGGGCGUAAAGCGCGCGUAGGCGGGCUGUCAAGUCAGGGGUGAAAUCCCGGAGCUUAACUCCGGAACUGCCUUUGAAACUGUCAGCCUGGAGUGUGUGAGGGGAUAGCGGAAUUCCUAAUGUAGAGGUGAAAUUCGUAGAUAUUAGGAGGAACACCGGUGGCGAAGGCGGCUAUCUGGCACACAACUGACGCUGAGGCGCGAAAGCGUGGGGAUCAAACAGG
This 253-nucleotide ribosomal RNA is filed under the name uncultured bacterium. RNAcentral describes it as "partial 16S ribosomal RNA". It matches the Rfam family "Bacterial small subunit ribosomal RNA", at positions 524 to 776 of the family's 1533-position model. The record is from RNAcentral.